This 253-nucleotide ribosomal RNA is filed under the name uncultured bacterium. RNAcentral describes it as "partial 16S ribosomal RNA". It matches the Rfam family "Bacterial small subunit ribosomal RNA", at positions 524 to 776 of the family's 1533-position model. The record is from RNAcentral.
GACAGAGGGUGCAAACGUUGUUCGGAAUUACUGGGCGUAAAGCGAGUGUAGGCGGUCUGAAAAGUCGGAUGUGAAAGCCCCGGGCUCAACCCGGGAAGUGCAUUCGAAACUGCCAGGCUAGAGUGUCGGAGAGGUUGGUGGAAUUCUCGGUGUAGAGGUGAAAUUCGUAGAUAUCGAGAGGAACACCGGUGGCGAAGGCGGGUCUCUGGGCAACUCCUGACGCUGAGGCGCGAAAGCGUGGGGAGCAAACGGG